This 253-nucleotide ribosomal RNA is filed under the name uncultured bacterium. RNAcentral describes it as "partial 16S ribosomal RNA". It matches the Rfam family "Bacterial small subunit ribosomal RNA", at positions 524 to 776 of the family's 1533-position model. The record is from RNAcentral.
UACGUAGGGUGCAGGCGUUAAUCGGAAUUACUGGGCGUAAAGCGUGCGCAGGCGGCUCCUUAAGUCAGAUGCGAAAGCCCCGGGCUUAACCUGGGAACUGCGUUUGAAACUGGGGGGCUAGAGUGUGGAAGAGGGGGGUGGAAUUCCAGGUGUAGCAGUGAAAUGCGUAGAGAUCUGGAGGAACACCGAUGGCGAAGGCAGCCCCCUGGGCUAACACUGACGCUCAUGCACGAAAGCGUGGGGAGCAAACAGG